This 212-nucleotide long non-coding RNA is filed under the name Mytilus galloprovincialis (Mediterranean mussel). The record is from RNAcentral. Lineage: Eukaryota; Metazoa; Mollusca; Bivalvia; Mytilida; Mytilidae.
GUGUUAAUAUUGAUUCACUUAUAGGGUUUUUGCAUCAGAACUAAACACAUCUAUUCAAAAACAAGUUGUUGGUAUGACACAGGUUUUGUUCUUCUCAUAUAUGUUGUGAUGGUAUGAUACUAAACCCCUAAUGGGAAGGAUUGUACCUGAUACUCAUAUGAUGAAACCAUAACCUUUCAAUCAGUUUAAUUGAAGUCUGGAGCUGGCAUGUC